RNAcentral lists this transfer RNA (94 nucleotides) under Lentinus tigrinus ALCF2SS1-7. RNAcentral's name for it is "tRNA-Leu". It matches the Rfam family "tRNA". Rfam says of the family: Transfer RNA (tRNA) molecules are approximately 80 nucleotides in length. RNAcentral also lists the same sequence under 1 other name. The record is from RNAcentral. Lineage: Eukaryota; Fungi; Basidiomycota; Agaricomycetes; Polyporales; Polyporaceae.
GGCAAUAUGGCCGAGCGGUCUAAGGCGCCAGAAUCAGGUGGUUACCUCACUAAUCUGGUCCGAAAGGGCGUGGGUUCGAAUCCCACUGUUGUCA